UACGAAGGGGGCUAGCGUUGUUCGGAAUUACUGGGCGUAAAGCGCACGUAGGCGGCUUUGUAAGUUGGGGGUGAAAUCCCGAGGCUCAACCUCGGAAUUGCCUUCAAGACUGCUUAGCUUGAGAUCGGAAGAGGUGAGUGGAAUUCCCAGUGUAGAGGUGAAGUUCGUAGAGAUUGGGAAGAACACCAGUGGCGAAGGCGGCUCACUGGUCCGAUACUGACGCUGAG
RNAcentral lists this ribosomal RNA (227 nucleotides) under uncultured prokaryote. RNAcentral describes it as "partial 16S ribosomal RNA". It matches the Rfam family "Bacterial small subunit ribosomal RNA", at positions 524 to 750 of the family's 1533-position model. The record is from RNAcentral.